UGCAAGUCGAGCGGUAGCACAGAGAGCUUGCUCUCGGGUGACGAGCGGCGGACGGGUGAGUAAUGUCUGGGAAACUGCCUGAUGGAGGGGGAUAACUACUGGAAACGGUAGCUAAUACCGCAUAAUGUCGCAAGACCAAAGUGGGGGACCUUCGGGCCUCAUGCCAUCAGAUGUGCCCAGAUGGGAUUAGCUAGUAGGUGGGGUAACGGCUCACCUAGGCGACGAUCCCUAGCUGGUCUGAGAGGAUGACCAGCCACACUGGAACUGAGACACGGUCCAGACUCCUACGGGAGGCAGCAGUGGGGAAUAUUGCACAAUGGGCGCAAGCCUGAUGCAGCCAUGCCGCGUGUGUGAAGAAGGCCUUCGGGUUGUAAAGCACUUUCAGCGGGGAGGAAGGCGAUAAGGUUAAUAACCUUGUCGAUUGACGUUACCCGCAGAAGAAGCACCGGCUAACUCCGUGCCAGCAGCCGCGGUAAUACGGAGGGUGCAAGCGUUAAUCGGAAUUACUGGGCGUAAAGCGCACGCAGGCGGUCUGUCAAGUCGGAUGUGAAAUCCCCGGGCUCAACCUGGGAACUGCAUUCGAAACUGGCAGGCUAGAGUCUUGUAGAGGGGGGUAGAAUUCCAGGUGUAGCGGUGAAAUGCGUAGAGAUCUGGAGGAAUACCGGUGGCGAAGGCGGCCCCCUGGACAAAGACUGACGCUCAGGUGCGAAAGCGUGGGGAGCAAACAGGAUUAGAUACCCUGGUAGUCCACGCCGUAAACGAUGUCGAUUUGGAGGUUGUGCCCUUGAGGCGUGGCUUCCGGAGCUAACGCGUUAAAUCGACCGCCUGGGGAGUACGGCCGCAAGGUUAAAACUCAAAUGAAUUGACGGGGGCCCGCACAAGCGGUGGAGCAUGUGGUUUAAUUCGAUGCAACGCGAAGAACCUUACCUGGUCUUGACAUCCACAGAACUUUCCAGAGAUGGAUUGGUGCCUUCGGGAACUGUGAGACAGGUGCUGCAUGGCUGUCGUCAGCUCGUGUUGUGAAAUGUUGGGUUAAGUCCCGCAACGAGCGCAACCCUUAUCCUUUGUUGCCAGCGGUUMGGCCGGGAACUCAAAGGAGACUGCCAGUGAUAAACUGGAGGAAGGUGGGGAUGACGUCAAGUCAUCAUGGCCCUUACGACCAGGGCUACACACGUGCUACAAUGGCAUAUACAAAGAGAAGCGACCUCGCGAGAGCAAGCGGACCUCAUAAAGUAUGUCGUAGUCCGGAUUGGAGUCUGCAACUCGACUCCAUGAAGUCGGAAUCGCUAGUAAUCGUAGAUCAGAAUGCUACGGUGAAUACGUUCCCGGGCCUUGUACACACCGCCCGUCACACCAUGGGAGUGGGUUGCAAAAGAAGUAGGU
RNAcentral lists this ribosomal RNA (1383 nucleotides) under bacterium. RNAcentral's name for it is "bacterial SSU rRNA". The record is from RNAcentral.